CCGUACCUAGGUCUAAUGUCUUGCAACAUGCAAGGCCUUCGGCACCCUUGUGCCUAGGCCCAUCGCCUUGCGACAUGCAAUUCUUAUGCCUUCGGUACCCUCGUGCCUAGGCACAUUGCCUUGCGACAUGCAAGCUUUGUGCCUUCGGCAUCCCCUUUGCCUUCGGCACCCCCGUGCCUAGCUCUAUUAUCUUGCAACAUGUAAGUCUUAUGCCUUCGGCACCCUCACGCCUAGGCCCAUCACCUUGCGACAUGCAAUUCUUAUGCCUUCGGCACCCUCGUGCCUAGGCACAUUGCCUUGCGAUAUGCACGCUUUGUGCCUUCGGCAUCCCCUUUGCCUUCGGCACCCCCGUGCCUAGCUCCAUUGUCUUGCAACAUGCAAGUCUUAUGCCUUUGGCACCCUUGUGCCGAGGCCACAUCGCCUUGCAUCAAGCAAACUUUGUGCCUUCGGCACCCUCGUGCCCAGCCACAUUGCCUUGUGACAUGCAAGCUUCAUGUCUCCUUCGGCAUUCUCUUUGUCUUCGGCACCCCCGUGCCUAAACACAUUGCCUUGCAAACAUGCAAGCUUAGUGUCACCUUCGGCACCCUCGUGCCUAAGCCCAUCGCCUUGACACAUGCAAUUCAUAUGCCUUCGGCACCCUCGUGCCCAACCACAUUACCCUGAGGCAUGCAACUUUGUCCCUUCGGCAACCCCUUCACCUUUGGCACCCUCGUGCCAAGUUCUCUCCCUUCCAAAUGUCAUUCUUACCAGGGGACUUGGGGGACUAUGGGUAGUGCACUAUACAGCUUGGAAGAUGAACUAUGGUGUUGCUCGGCCAGUGCACUUAAAAUUACAAGUCCCCAACCAAGAAGUACCUUCUUACUCGAGAACUUGGGGGACUACUGUUUGUACCAUAACUGACCGAGCAACUAGUUAGGCUAGAUCAUUCGAGUGCCAUGCUUUGAGAGGUCAUCACCUUAGCUAAAGAAGCACCACCACAAAUCACAACUCUAAGCAAAGCAAGAGGAGUCCCACAUCGAAAAACUACAAGAGAUGGAGACUCCCCCUCACCUAUAAAAGAAGACUGCUCUUUACUUAGAAGGGGAUCCUGGUCUUGGAUCUAAACCCUUAGGCCUUGGACUCUCUCUUCUGGAUCCAUCUCUGGGCUGGGCUUCUCACUUGUUAUCUUUAUAUUUGGGUCUAAUCCCCUUGUACAAAUGUAAACGAACAUUAUGAGAACACCCUUCUCCGUGGACGUAGCCCAUCAUUCGGGUGAACCACGUAUAUCUUGUCUUCUAUAUGUUUAUCGUUUGUCCAAAUCCUCACACACUUGGUAAAGGUCCUCACCUUCAUCCAUCAUCCAUCACACCUCAUCACUAAGUUGGACUCAACCUUGGCCUAACCAUUUUGAGCAUCAACAAGCUGUUCAUCAACAUUU
RNAcentral lists this long non-coding RNA (1417 nucleotides) under Prunus persica (peach). RNAcentral's name for it is "long non-coding RNA (PPER_LNC000613)". Lineage: Eukaryota; Viridiplantae; Streptophyta; Magnoliopsida; Rosales; Rosaceae. The record is from RNAcentral.